AGAGUUUGAUCAUGGCUCAGGACGAACGCUGGCGGCGUGCUUAACACAUGCAAGUCGAGCGGAAAGGCCCUUCGGGGUACUCGAGCGGCGAACGGGUGAGUAACACGUGAGCAACCUGCCCCUGGCUCUGGGAUAGCUCCGGGAAACCGGGAUUAAUACCGGAUGCGACCUGCUCCUGCAUGGGAGCGGGUGGAAAGUUU
Molecule: ribosomal RNA, 200 nt
Filed under: uncultured bacterium
Lineage: Bacteria
Description: partial 16S ribosomal RNA
Rfam family: Bacterial small subunit ribosomal RNA
Source: RNAcentral